UUUUGCAUUACAGUAAUAAGAAUUUGGCUGAAAUGUACUUAAUUUUAUUUUUAAAAAAUUAUAAUAUUCUCACAAUGUAAAAUUUUAAAUGAAAAAUAGGCUUAAUUUUCUUUAAGCAAUAUAUUUCCUAUUUCUUUCUUUUGAUUUUGGGGUGAAAUAUGACCCGGACGUGUUAGAUUCACCCAUGAAACAGAUCUUCACUCCCUUUUGUUGCAAAAUUCCCAGGUCAAAGCAUCUUCAAGAUUCCAGUUGUUAAUGCUGGCCUGUGCUGUGAUUGUGUUGGCUGCUACUGUUAUUUACUCCUGACAUAAAAAAGGGGGGAAAUAAAGGGAGAAAAGGCUAAAGACAUUUGUGAACUUCGUCAUGUCUCUGUGAACUGCCUUACAGUGAAAAGAAUCAAAUACAGAGACUGGUUUUACUUCAGGAAUGUAUGUUUUUUUUUUUCUGCCAAAAUAUCCCUUGUUUCAAUUUGAAAUGAAUCUGGGAAUAAGCAUCAACCCAGACUAACAGUAAGCGUGUAUUUUGCCAUAAAAGGCUUCUUGAAAAAUCCUGAUAUGCUGAGAACACAGAAUAAUGACACUCGAGAUUGUUGAACAAGUAUAAUAUUUUCAUGUGUGAAGUCCCAGGGUCCAAAAUAACCCUCUUUCCUUUUUUAUUACAUGAUUCAUUAUUUUAUUCAUUCUCAAAAAUCCCCCUUUCUUGAAUGGAUAUAAUGAGGGCUUGUGUGUGUCUGUACAAGUGUGUGUGUACAAGAGACUCACUGAUAAGUGUGAUUGUGUUGAAUGAUAAUUGUUAGUGAUUGUGUGUGUGUGUUUUCCUUUCUUUUUUCUAAUAAAGUGUAAAAGAAUAAGAUAUACAUUUUUGUGAUUGAACUAUAAAGAUUAUUACCUGUAAGAUAUCAAGAAAAUGAGAAUUGUUUACUUAUGGUAUAUUUUGUCUCAGAGCACGCUGAUAAAUUAAAGCUAUAUUCAUUCGAGCCCUGGUCUCAUUGGUUUGUACACCUGUGUGUGUGUGUGUG
Molecule: long non-coding RNA, 1018 nt
Organism: Cyprinus carpio carpio
Lineage: Eukaryota; Metazoa; Chordata; Actinopteri; Cypriniformes; Cyprinidae
Source: Ensembl